GUGGGGAAUUUUGGACAAUGGGCGCAAGCCUGAUCCAGCAAUGCCGCGUGCAGGAAGAAGGCCUUCGGGUUGUAAACUGCUUUUGUACGGAACGAAACGGUCCGGGUUAAUACCCUGGGCUAAUGACGGUACCGUAAGAAUAAGCACCGGCUAACUACGUGCCAGCAGCCGCGGUAAUACGUAGGGUGCAAGCGUUAAUCGGAAUUACUGGGCGUAAAGCGUGCGCAGGCGGUGCUGUAAGACAGGCGUGAAAUCCCCGGGCUCAACCUGGGAAUUGCGCUUGUGACUGCAGUGCUGGAGUACGGCAGAGGGGGAUGGAAUUCCGCGUGUAGCAGUGAAAUGCGUAGAUAUGCGGAGGAACACCGAUGGCGAAGGCAGUCCCCUGGGCCUGUACUGACGCUCAUGCACGAAAGCGUGGGGAGCAAACAGGAUUAGAAACCCCAGUAGUCC
Molecule: ribosomal RNA, 450 nt
Filed under: uncultured bacterium
Lineage: Bacteria
Description: bacterial SSU rRNA
Rfam family: Bacterial small subunit ribosomal RNA
Source: RNAcentral